This 284-nucleotide long non-coding RNA is filed under the name Manihot esculenta (cassava). Its description in RNAcentral is "long non-coding RNA (MESC_LNC005991)". Lineage: Eukaryota; Viridiplantae; Streptophyta; Magnoliopsida; Malpighiales; Euphorbiaceae. The record is from RNAcentral.
GUCGGAGGUCAAUCUCCGCCUAAUCCUCCGACGGCAACUCCAGCUCCUCCUACACCAACUACUCCUUCUCCCCCGACUAGCACUCCUGCUCCUCCAACUACCACUCCUCCUCCGGCUUCAGCUCCUCCACCAGUAACCCAAUCUCCACCUCCUGCUACUCCUCCUCCAGUUUCAGCACCCCCACCGGCUACUCCUCCUCCUGUCAGCUCUCCACCGCCUGCAUCUCCUCCCCCCGCAACUCCACCUCCAGCGUCUCCUCCACCUGCUACUCCACCUCCUGCUUC